GAAAUGCGAUAAGUAGUAUGAAUUGCAGAAUUCAGUGAAUCAUCGAAUCUUUGAACGCACAUUGCGCCCCUUGGUAUUCCAUGGGGCAUGCCUGUUCGAGCGUCAUUUGUACCCUCAAGCUCUGCUUGGUGUUGGGUGUUUGUCCCGUCUCCGCGCGUGGACUCGCCCCAAAGUGAUUGGCAGCCGGCGUACUGGUCCCGGAGCGCAGCACAUGUCGCGCAAACGAGUGCCUUGGUACGGCGGCGUCCAUAAGCCCCUCUCUCACGCUCUUGACCUCGGAUCAGGUAGGGAUACCCGCUGAACUUAAGC
Molecule: unclassified non-coding RNA, 309 nt
Filed under: plant metagenome
Description: partial contains 5.8S ribosomal RNA, internal transcribed spacer 2, and large subunit ribosomal RNA
Rfam family: 5.8S ribosomal RNA (bases 1-105)
Source: RNAcentral